This is a long non-coding RNA of Sphaeramia orbicularis (orbiculate cardinalfish), 354 nucleotides long. RefSeq lists it as uncharacterized. The transcript has 4 exons. Lineage: Eukaryota; Metazoa; Chordata; Actinopteri; Kurtiformes; Apogonidae. The record is from RefSeq and is a predicted model, not a curated record.
CUAGGAGAUACCCCGUACAAACCACAGUGCUGGACCGGUGACCACUGAUACAGCUCCACAUAAAGAUCCAGGGAUAAGACUUCCCUUUCCAGUGGCUUCCUCAUUCUACUACUCACUGGCAACAGGAACCUGGUCACCAUACUGCUCUCGCCGUCUGGUGCCACUGGUGUGAUUUAUAGCCUCUGUCCUCGUGGUAACAAUGCAGCUGAGAAUCCCCCUCAGUGAUGGAGACGUAAAAGCCUUGACACAGCUACCGUCAGUGCAGUAAAAUCAUCUGGAAGAGGCUCUGACAACAGUCCUGCAGUCAGAUGUUCUGGACUCAGAGGUCGGAUGUUUGGAGCUGUGUCUUCCAUG